CUGGCCUCCGCGGGGAGACCCCCGCCCGGGGCUCCGAGGCCGGGCGGCCACCCGCGGGGAAGCCCAGCCCUCCUCCAGACCCACUCGCUCCUCCGCCCUGCAGGGGGAGAGGGCUGAGGAGCGGGCGGCGGGAGGAGAGGGCAGCGCGACCCCCGGCCGCCGCCGCCGCCGCCGCCGCCGCCGCCGCCGCCUACCCCUACGCCACCUCGAGGGAGGGGGACACGGCUCUCCGCACUCGCGGCCGGACCAGCAGCCACCGGAGCGGGGCGCCGCCGCCGCUCUCCCCGCCCGCGCCCGCACCCCCAGCCCGGGCGCGCCCCCUCGCCUGGCGGGCGCCCACCGGCCCGGCAGCCCCCUGCCGUCAGUCCCUGCGCCCCGCGCGGGGGUGUCGGCCCGGGAGGCUGGAGCGGGAGAAGGUUGUAUGUACACACACACACACACACACACACACACACACACACACACACACCACACAAAGACGCGUCGAUUUCCUUCGCUCCUCUUCCAGCUGUUUUCGGUGCCGGCGACUGGGGUUUGGGGUUUGUUUGCUGGUUGUUGCUUUUGCCCCUCUGGAGAGCGGGGGUCUGGAAAUCUGCUUUGGGUACUGAAGUCCCCAGCCCCAGCCUUGGAAGAAGACCCGCGCACUCCUUUCGCAGCUGAUUCGGGAUCAUUAAUUUAAUCGGAAAUGAGGUGUGGCUCCUGGAGAAGAGGGAAGGCACCUCCGUGCUGAAGGGAGCUCAGUGCGGCGUUCUCCUUGCUGCAGAUAAUUCUGGAAGACCAGUAGGUGUCGGGGCAGCAUUUGACCUCUUUCAGGUGCUUAGAACCAAGUGUCUAGAAACAUGAUCUUUCCACAUAAGUUUCUCUCUGGAAGCCACCACUAUUGACUGUAAGCUGUAUUUGAGAAACCUUUGGCUGAGUUUACGUAUGACCUAACGGUUAGUCACCAACCGAAGCAGGAUACAGAAUCACCAAGAGAAAUGUGUCAGCUUUUAAACAACUGUAUUGUAGAGCCAACGUGCUACAGAAAUAAAAAUAAGCAUACUAACAACUAGGAAGGUGUAGAGCCCCGGAAAUAAUUUUUUUUCUCGCAUUUUGAAAUACCAUGCACAUAUACAUGGCUAUUUAAAUAAAACUACUACUGUUCACUCUGACUCGGUUCUAAAACUUUUUUUUUUCCUUUUUCAUUUAAAACGCAAUGAUUGCUACAGUUUAAACCCCAGGUCGGUUUAAAGUGACAUUGUUGGUCUCAUUACAGCCUCUAGUGGACAGUUGAAAUCAGUUUCCUGAAAAGGCUCUUCCUGGCGUUUUGUUGUUGACAAGCGUUAUCAAGGUGAAGGCUAAGAUCUCAGAACAGAACCGGAGACUGGCUCCUCCCCCUGCUUGGUGGAUUCCGCUCUCGAAAGGAUCAGAAGCAGUCGGUUCGGCACCGAAAAGACGAAUGCUUUGUGCUAUGGGCAUUAUUAUUACUGGCCUGUGAAUAAACAGAGCUUCUGCUAUUCAUUUCAGUUUCGGACAGCUUUCAUAUAAACUAACUUCAUCUAACGUAUUUUUGUAACAGAAAAUAUUGGUUGCCAUGUUUUUCUUCUGCGGACUGCCCAAUCCACCUCCACUCUAUUUUUAGACAUUUUUACUUUGAGAGAAUUUUCAGCCAAAAACAGCUAAUAUUUUAAUUAUUACACUGACACAGGCAGUUAAUUUAAGUUAUUUUAACAACCUUAAAUUAAAACACAUAAUUCAGAUUAGACUAAGUCAAUUAAUUUAAAUGUUCCCUUAAGGAAGCUGAAUAUGUAUAUUACCCAAACAGUAAAAACAAUAAGAAAUGUGUCAUUUACUUUCUUAGCUAUUAAGAUUAAAGCCAUAAAGUGUCAUUAAAGUCUGUAACUAUUCCUUCCUGCAAGGUGCCACGGAAACUAUUCUCCUGAUACAGUUUCGUUACCUUUAGUACUGCAUUAUUUUCAGAUGGCAAAAUAUUAAAUGUACAAAUAACUGACACUCAUUCUUUAAAAAUAAGGCUCUGUCAUGCAGAUAAAAACUCCAUGAAAGGGCUGGGCUUUCAAGAAGCCAGUAGGCAAAUAUGUAGUACUACGGUCCUAUUCAUAAAUCUGAUACUGUGUUCAUACAAACAUAAGUCAAACUUUAAAAUUAAAGGAAAUUGAGACGUAAGGCCUGCCUAGCCUUACUCCUAGUCUGUGUUCUGCAUUGCUCAAACACCAUGGAAAAUGAUUUUUUAUCCCUUAUAUCUACUUCAUUGUUUUGAUAGUAUCUACUUUUGAGGGCUUAAAGUAGGCUAUCAGUAUAUAUGAUAUCCUAUCGUUAUGUAUUACAUCUUGCUUCUUAAAAGCCUUAUCUUCAGAGUAGUGGUAGCAGCAGCUGGGAGCUUUUUAGAAAUUCAGAAUGAGAGUUCCACCCCAGACCUACUGAAUCACAAUCUGCCUUUUAGCCAGCACCCCUGGUGAUUUCCAAGCACGCUGUAGUAUGAAGAACACUGUCCAUACUACAGGGCUCUGUCUAGGUGCAUUUGCCCACGGAUGUAGAACUUAAUUCUUCUAUUUAUUCCUUUGGUAUUCCCUCCGCCUUUAACUAAUUUGCACUUUUUAAUGAAACACAAUUACACUGUAUGCUUUGGUCAGAUAGUACUGUAGUUCAGACAAGAGCCCUGAUUUCAUGCGCAAA
This 2673-nucleotide long non-coding RNA is filed under the name Zalophus californianus (California sea lion). RNAcentral describes it as "lncRNA (ENSZCAG00015010944.1)". The record is from RNAcentral. Lineage: Eukaryota; Metazoa; Chordata; Mammalia; Carnivora; Otariidae.